This 421-nucleotide ribosomal RNA is filed under the name Perichaena vermicularis. RNAcentral describes it as "partial small subunit ribosomal RNA". It matches the Rfam family "Bacterial small subunit ribosomal RNA", at positions 558 to 930 of the family's 1533-position model. The record is from RNAcentral. Lineage: Eukaryota; Evosea; Eumycetozoa; Trichiida; Trichiidae.
GCGUAGGGUAUGUAGGUGGUGAAAUAAAAAGAAAAUGAAAUACUAGAUUAUCAUCUUUUCUGUUUUCUCGUAAUUUCACUUGAAUCUCAGAUGGGACGAUGGUACUUUUUAAGGAACAGUUAAAUGUGUUGAUAUAAAAAGGACCGACGGUAGCGAAAGCGAUUUUCCUUUCAAGUAUUGAGCUAAGGUACGAAGGCAGGGGAGCAAAGAGGAUUAGAUACCCUCGUAGUCCGUGAGUAAACGCUGAGUUUUCAAUGUAGGGAUUUAAUUGAAAGAUUUUUGAGCCAUUUCUUUAAAAACGAAAUUAAAAUUUUUCAAGUAAAAUAUAGAAACCUUGGCGUUCAAGUAACGCGUAAAAUUCUCCGCUGGGAAGUACGGCCGCAGGUUGAAACUCAAAAGAAUUGAGGUGACUUGAACGAGG